RNAcentral lists this ribosomal RNA (427 nucleotides) under uncultured bacterium. RNAcentral describes it as "partial 16S ribosomal RNA". It matches the Rfam family "Bacterial small subunit ribosomal RNA", at positions 355 to 774 of the family's 1533-position model. The record is from RNAcentral.
UGGGGAAUAUUGGACAAUGGGCGAAAGCCUGAUCCAGCCAUGCCGCGUGUGUGAAGAAGGUCUUCGGAUUGUAAAGCACUUUAAGUUGGGAGGAAGGGCAUUAACCUAAUACGUUAGUGUUUUGACGUUACCGACAGAAUAAGCACCGGCUAACUCUGUGCCAGCAGCCGCGGUAAUACAGAGGGUGCAAGCGUUAAUCGGAAUUACUGGGCGUAAAGCGCGCGUAGGUGGUUUGUUAAGUUGGAUGUGAAAUCCCCGGGCGCAACCUGGGAACUGCAUUCAAAACUGACUGACUAGAGUAUUGUAGAGGUUGGUGUAAUUUCCUGUGUAGCGGUGAAAUGCGUAGAUAUAGGAAGGAACACCGGUGGCGAAGGCGACCACCUGGACUAAUACUGACACUGAGGUGCGAAAGCGUGGGGAGCAAACA